Molecule: unclassified non-coding RNA, 205 nt
Filed under: Hevea brasiliensis (rubber tree)
Lineage: Eukaryota; Viridiplantae; Streptophyta; Magnoliopsida; Malpighiales; Euphorbiaceae
Source: RNAcentral
CAGCGCCAUUAACUUAUCAGUUUUACUUGCAUAUCUUUAAUAAAUUCUUUUAGCAGGACAGCUUUAGUAAGGGAAGGAGGGGAAAAACACAAAGGCCAACUCCUUUCUCUAAAUAAAUGGAAAUGUAUUUUUGAUAUGGAUGAAAUUAGUGAGCAAUUCUUGGGAGAAUGGGAGAAACAGCAAGGGAUGAAGUAAAGGAAGAAAG